AUUGAACGCUGGCGGAAUGCUUUACACAUGCAAGUCGAACGGCAGCACGGGGGUAACCCUGGUGGCGAGUGGCGAACGGGUGAGUAAUACAUCGGAACGUGCCCAAUCGUGGGGGAUAACGUAGCGAAAGCUACGCUAAUACCGCAUACGAUCUACGGAUGAAAGCGGGGGAUCGCAAGACCUCGCGCGAAUGGAGCGGCCGAUGGCAGGUUAGGUAGUUGGUGGGGUAAAGGCUCACCAAGCCAACGAUCUGUAGCUGGUCUGAGAGGACGACCAGGCAAACUGGGACUGAGACACGGCCCAGACUCCUACGGGAGGCAGCAGUGGGGAAUAUUGGACAAUGGGCGCAAGCCUGAUCCAGCCAUGCCGCGUGCAGGAUGAAGGCCUUCGGGUUGUAAACUGCUUUUGUACGGAACGAAACGGCCCUUUCUAAUACAGAGGGCUAAUGACGGUACCGUAAGAAUAAGCACCGGCUAACUACGUGCCAGCCGCCGCAGUAA
This 500-nucleotide ribosomal RNA is filed under the name uncultured bacterium. Its description in RNAcentral is "partial 16S ribosomal RNA". It matches the Rfam family "Bacterial small subunit ribosomal RNA", at positions 29 to 523 of the family's 1533-position model. The record is from RNAcentral.